RNAcentral lists this long non-coding RNA (463 nucleotides) under Bos taurus (domestic cattle). RNAcentral's name for it is "long non-coding RNA NONBTAT024747". The record is from RNAcentral. Lineage: Eukaryota; Metazoa; Chordata; Mammalia; Artiodactyla; Bovidae.
UUUGAUUGCUUUUUCAAAAGGCAGAAAAUUGAAAUAACUUAAUGCUGCUCGGAAAAUGAUACCUUUCUAUAGAAGGAAAGAAUCUCUGGGGACACCUAGAGCUUUCAUGUGAGCUGUUACUGAUGCAUUGGUCUCAUGGCCACAGGCUUCCUGGAAGCCACGGGAUGGGCUGUGCUUGCUCAUGCUAGUGAAAGGGUGUCUCACUUUUCUCCUACACAGAGGGUCAGUGUGUUUGCUUCUCUAGUAGUGUCCUUUUGACCACCCCCCCUUUUUUUAAUAUGAGAGAAGGAACAACGAUCCCCAUAAGAUAGUUAUAAAUUGAUGUAUUUCAGAUAUGAUCAGAUCUCUGUUUAUGGCAUGUGGCAUCCAGUUCACUAAGGAUGUUCUUACUUACUUAAAACACCACUCUUGUUAUAGCCCCCUCUGACAUCCCAACCUAUGUGAUUAGCCUGCUUUAUAGCAC